This 644-nucleotide long non-coding RNA is filed under the name Phascolarctos cinereus (koala). RNAcentral describes it as "lncRNA (ENSPCIG00000020117.2)". Lineage: Eukaryota; Metazoa; Chordata; Mammalia; Diprotodontia; Phascolarctidae. The record is from RNAcentral.
CCUCGGCCCGCCCCCUCCUCUCACUUCGGCCCCGGGCCUCUGUGAGAGGAGAACUUACCUAGGUGCACGUCACAGAGGUGUCAGAGGGUAACAAGAUUUCAUGGACCUGGAGGUAAAGGACUUUUGAGAAAGGACCUCUUCAUGGGCCUACGGAAGCCUCAGUGGUGAAGUGGUCCUAUUUUUCCCACUUACUACAUUGUCCUCUCUGCUGCCAUCCUGGAAUCAUCCAUGUGGGUAACUGCUUCGGAGAUAGAGGCCCACUCACCUUGUGUGGACAGCUCUCAGUUCUGCCCAGUAGGAGGUGCUGCAGCGACAGAAGGCCAUUUCUUCUGCUGAAUUUUGAGCUUGGGCUUACCACUUGUGUUCGGAGUCUGGGCCCGAGGAGUGACAGGUUAACAUUCAGCUCAGAGUUCCAGGAGUGCCUUCAGAGCAAACCUGUUAGUGAGGACGGCUGGCCAGCUUAGCCCUCCUGAGCUCCGAAGAGAUCCCCCAGUCCCAGCCCCUGGAUUUGCCAGAGUGAACCCAAGCCCAGUCAGUUUUGCCUUUCUGGGUAUCUCCGGUACAGUGCCUGGCAUGCAGUAAGUGCUUAGUAAAUAAGAGGGAGCAUUUAUGGAGUGCUUAGAGCCCUUUACAGAUGGUAUCUU